This 490-nucleotide ribosomal RNA is filed under the name uncultured bacterium. Its description in RNAcentral is "partial 16S ribosomal RNA". It matches the Rfam family "Bacterial small subunit ribosomal RNA", at positions 30 to 507 of the family's 1533-position model. The record is from RNAcentral.
AUUGAACGCUGGCGGCAGGCCUAACACAUGCAAGUCGAACGGUAACAGGAAGCAGCUUGCUGCUUCGCUGACGAGUGGCGGACGGGUGAGUAAUGUCUGGGAAACUGCCUGAUGGAGGGGGAUAACUACUGGAAACGGUAGCUAAUACCGCAUAACGUCGCAAGACCAAAGAGGGGGACCUUAGGGCCUCUUGCCAUCGGAUGUGCCCAGAUGGGAUUAGCUAGUAGGUGGGGUAACGGCUCACCUAGGCGACGAUCCCUAGCUGGUCUGAGAGGAUGACCAGCCACACUGGAACUGAGACACGGUCCAGACUCCUACGGGAGGCAGCAGUGGGGAAUAUUGCACAAUGGGCGCAAGCCUGAUGCAGCCAUGCCGCGUGUAUGAAGAAGGCCUUCGGGUUGUAAAGUACUUUCAGCGGGGAGGAAGGGAGUAAAGUUAAUACCUUUGCUCAUUGACGUUACCCGCAGAAGAAGCACUGGCUAACUCCGUG